UGUUUGUUUGUUUGUUUGUUAUUUAGUAUUAUUGGUGUGCUGGUUGUUCUUGUUUUGGUUGAUUUAUUGGGCAGUGACAAGAGCCAGUUGGUGAAUCUGAAGAAUGGGAUCCAUUAAAAAUACUAGGGAUUGACAGGGGAGCUACUGUGUCUCAGAUAAACUUGAUGCUGAUGUAAUGUUGCUGGUGAUGUUGCUGAUGAACUUGAAGCCUCUAUAGCAAAAUAUAAAGAAGAAUAUGCAAUGGUUGUAUCUGAUGCUAGUGUUAUCAAGAAUGAUUUAUCAACUGUUGAGAAAAAGGUGAGUUCCUCCCUUGUUUGUGUCACCUUGAGAAGAGUCUCCUCACUGCAUUGAACGAGGUCAAGGGUCGUAUCCUAGACAACAACAGAAUCAUUACUGAGCUUCAGACUCUUAAGGAAGAGGCUGCAGAAGUUCAGAGGAAGAUGGAGGAGACUGAUACUGUAAUGGCUGAAUUUGACAGAGUCUCCCAGCAAUACCUGCCUCUCUCCACCUCCUGCUCUGCCAUGUACUUCACUCUGGAGUCACUCAAUCAGGUUGUGGACCUGAGGCUGAACUCAUCAUCUCAAGGACUGAUCUCUCAUUCAUAUACUGAAGAUCUAUAGACUAGGUUUAGGAACUAAGGACUGUAACACUAUAA
Molecule: long non-coding RNA, 655 nt
Organism: Amphimedon queenslandica
Lineage: Eukaryota; Metazoa; Porifera; Demospongiae; Haplosclerida; Niphatidae
Exons: 6
Source: RefSeq, a predicted model, not a curated record